Molecule: transfer RNA, 99 nt
Filed under: Candidatus Thorarchaeota archaeon
Lineage: Archaea; Promethearchaeati; Candidatus Thorarchaeota
Description: tRNA-Gly
Rfam family: tRNA
About the family: Transfer RNA (tRNA) molecules are approximately 80 nucleotides in length. Their secondary structure includes four short double-helical elements and three loops (D, anti-codon, and T loops). Further hydrogen bonds mediate the characteristic L-shaped molecular structure. tRNAs have two regions of fundamental functional importance: the anti-codon, which is responsible for specific mRNA codon recognition, and the 3' end, to which the tRNAs corresponding amino acid is attached (by aminoacyl-tRNA synthetases). tRNAs cope with the degeneracy of the genetic code in two manners: having more than one tRNA (with a specific anti-codon) for a particular amino acid; and 'wobble' base-pairing, i.e. permitting non-standard base-pairing at the 3rd anti-codon position.
Source: RNAcentral
GCGGCCGUGGUCUAGUUUGGUUAGGACGGAAGCCUCCCAAGCUUCCAACCCGAGACAGAAUUAAUCUCUGCGGGAAUUCAAAUCCCGGCGGCCGCACCA